This 484-nucleotide ribosomal RNA is filed under the name uncultured bacterium. RNAcentral's name for it is "bacterial SSU rRNA". It matches the Rfam family "Bacterial small subunit ribosomal RNA", at positions 8 to 507 of the family's 1533-position model. The record is from RNAcentral.
AGAGUUUGAUCAGUGGCUCGAGGACGAACGCUGGCGGCGUGCUUAACACAUGCAAGUCGAACGGUAAGGCCCUUCGGGGUACACGAGUGGCGAACGGGUGAGUAACACGUGGGUGAUCUGCCCUGCACUUCGGGAUAAGCUUGGGAAACUGGGUCUAAUACCGGAUAGGACCACGGUCUGCAUGGAUUGUGGUGGAAAGCUUUUGCGGUGUGGGAUGGGCCCGCGGCCUAUCAGCUUGUUGGUGGGGUGAUGGCCUACCAAGGCGACGACGGGUAGCCGGCCUGAGAGGGUGUCCGGCCACACUGGGACUGAGAUACGGCCCAGACUCCUACGGGAGGCAGCAGUGGGGAAUAUUGCACAAUGGGCGCAAGCCUGAUGCAGCGACGCCGCGUGGGGGAUGACGGCCUUCGGGUUGUAAACCUCUUACAGCAGGGACGAAGGGUGACUGACGGUACCUGUAGAAGAAGCACCGGCCAACUACGUG